This 209-nucleotide long non-coding RNA is filed under the name Mustela putorius furo (domestic ferret). RNAcentral's name for it is "lncRNA (ENSMPUG00000030896.1)". Lineage: Eukaryota; Metazoa; Chordata; Mammalia; Carnivora; Mustelidae. The record is from RNAcentral.
GAGGACUGUGGCCAUCACCAGACACCAGAGGCUAAAGAAAGGCGAGGGUUGACUACUGCCAAGAAGAAUUUAUUAUAUCUAAACCUGGACCAAAUCUCCAGCAUCCCCAGAAGUCAGCAAGAACGAGAAAAUCCUGUUUGAAAAGACAUGGACUUUUGCCUAAUGACUACUCCACCUGACCAAUCAAUGAAGUACAAAACCAGUCCUCC